GGGAGAAGUGGCUCGGGGCCCCCGGGCCGGCCCCACGGGGCGGGACCACGCGCCCUGCCCUGGCGGAGCCCGGGGACGAACCAGAGGUCGCGGCGCGGGGGAGGCGGAGGGCGGCGGUCCACCUGGCGACGUGGCAACCAUUGCCGACUCCGCGAGACCCUCCCCACUCGGCCUGCCGCCCGCCCUCUCUCUCUCUCUCUCUUUCGCGGCUGCUCCGGUGAGGCUGCUCUUCCCCGGCCGGACGGAGAGCGGCAGUGUCGCCCCGGCCCGCGCACUCGCCGCGCGUCCCCCGCGGCCACAGCUGCUCGCCAGCCCCGCGCCUAGCGGAGCCGCGCCGAGAGCGCAGUGGCGGCGGCGGGAAAGGGCUGCGGACCCGUGCCGCUCGCUCACUCGCUCUCGACGACGCGGCCCCGGCCUCGACGCCCUCCGCCCGCUCCAGGAGCAGGUACUUAUUUGUGGGAAAGAGAUGUCCUAUAUUAUGGAUCUGAGCAUUCCAGGUACUGAAAUGUAAGAAGACGUUAUGUGGGAUCACAGGAAGUACUGUUCCAUUUGUGGAUACCAGCCGUGGCCAUACCGAGUACGUUGAUUACAUCAAUGCCAGACACGUGGUAAGUAUUAUUAAAAUUGCUGGUUGUAAAUAUUUUGCACAUAGGUUUUCAAACUUUCAUUUAUAUAUUUGAAUGAUUAAAACACAAAUCUU
RNAcentral lists this long non-coding RNA (700 nucleotides) under Castor canadensis (American beaver). Its description in RNAcentral is "lncRNA (ENSCCNG00000030410.1)". Lineage: Eukaryota; Metazoa; Chordata; Mammalia; Rodentia; Castoridae. The record is from RNAcentral.